Molecule: ribosomal RNA, 468 nt
Filed under: uncultured bacterium
Lineage: Bacteria
Description: partial 16S ribosomal RNA
Rfam family: Bacterial small subunit ribosomal RNA
Source: RNAcentral
GACGAACGCUGGCGGCGUGCUUAACACAUGCAAGUCGAACGGAAAGGCCCUGCUUUUGUGGGGUGUUCGAGUGGCGAACGGGUGAGUAACACGUGAGUAACCUGCCCUUGACUUUGGGAUAACUUCGGGAAACUGGGGCUAAUACCGGAUAGGAGCUCCUGCUGCAUGGUGGGGGUUGGAAAGUUUCGGCGGUUGGGGAUGGACUCGCGGCUUAUCAGCUUGUUGGUGGGGUAGUGGCUUACCAAGGCUUUGACGGGUAGCCGGCCUGAGAGGGUGACCGGCCACAUUGGGACUGAGAUACGGCCCAGACUCCUACGGGAGGCAGCAGUGGGGAAUAUUGCACAAUGGGCGGAAGCCUGAUGCAGCAACGCCGCGUGCGGGAUGACGGCCUUCGGGUUGUAAACCGCUUUCGCCUGUGACGAAGCGUGAGUGACGGUAAUGGGUAAAGAAGCACCGGCUAACUACGUG